This 254-nucleotide ribosomal RNA is filed under the name uncultured bacterium. Its description in RNAcentral is "partial 16S ribosomal RNA". It matches the Rfam family "Bacterial small subunit ribosomal RNA", at positions 524 to 777 of the family's 1533-position model. The record is from RNAcentral.
UACAGAGGGUGCAAGCGUUGUUCGGAAUUACUGGGCGUAAAGCGCGUGUAGGCGGCUAAGUAAGUCGGGCGUGAAAUCCCACGGCUCAACCGUGGAAGUGCACUCGAAACUGCAUAGCUAGAGUCCUGGAGAGGAAGGUGGAAUGCUUGGUGUAGAGGUGAAAUUCGUAGAUAUCAAGCGGAACACCGGUGGCGAAGGCGGCCUUCUGGACAGUGACUGACGCUGAGACGCGAAAGCGUGGGGAGCAAACAGGG